GAUGAACGCUGGCGGCGUGCCUAAUACAUGCGAGUCGAGCGAACAGACGAGGAGCUUGCUCCUCUGACGUUAGCGGCGGACGGGUGAGUAACACGUGGAUAACCUACCUAUAAGACUGGGAUAACUUCGGGAAACCGGAGCUAAUACCGGAUAAUAUAUUGAACCGCAUGGUUCAAUAGUGAAAGACGGUUUUGCUGUCACUUAUAGAUGGAUCCGCGCCGCAUUAGCUAGUUGGUAAGGUAACGGCUUACCAAGGCAACGAUGCGUAGCCGACCUGAGAGAGGGAUCGGCCACACUGGAACUGAGACACGGUCCAGACUACUACGGGAGGCAGCAGUAGGGAAUCGUCCGCAAUGGGCGAAAGCCUGACGGAGCAACGCCGCGUGAGAGAUGAAGGUCUUCGGAUCGUAAAACUCUGUUAUUAGGGAAGAACAAAUGUGUAAGUAACUAUGCACGUCUUGACGGUACCUAAUCAGAAAGCCACGGCUAACUACGUG
This 497-nucleotide ribosomal RNA is filed under the name uncultured bacterium. RNAcentral describes it as "partial 16S ribosomal RNA". It matches the Rfam family "Bacterial small subunit ribosomal RNA", at positions 28 to 507 of the family's 1533-position model. The record is from RNAcentral.